Transfer RNA from Ovis aries (sheep), 73 nucleotides. It matches the Rfam family "tRNA". Rfam says of the family: Transfer RNA (tRNA) molecules are approximately 80 nucleotides in length. Their secondary structure includes four short double-helical elements and three loops (D, anti-codon, and T loops). Further hydrogen bonds mediate the characteristic L-shaped molecular structure. tRNAs have two regions of fundamental functional importance: the anti-codon, which is responsible for specific mRNA codon recognition, and the 3' end, to which the tRNAs corresponding amino acid is attached (by aminoacyl-tRNA synthetases). tRNAs cope with the degeneracy of the genetic code in two manners: having more than one tRNA (with a specific anti-codon) for a particular amino acid; and 'wobble' base-pairing, i.e. permitting non-standard base-pairing at the 3rd anti-codon position. Lineage: Eukaryota; Metazoa; Chordata; Mammalia; Artiodactyla; Bovidae. The record is from Rfam.
UCCCUGGUAGUCCGGUGGCUAAGACUCUGGGUUUCCAAUGCGGGGGUCCCAGGUUCGAUCCCUGAUCAGGGAA